GGUACUUUUAUAGUGUGUAUUAUCAUGUGUAUAGAGGUACUUUUAUAGUGUGUAUUAUCAUGUGUAUAGAGGUAAUAUUAUAGUGUGUAUUAUCAUGUGUAUAGAGGUAAUAUUAUAGGGUGUAUUAUCAUGUGUAUAGAGGUAAUAUUAUAGUGUGUUAUUAUCAUGUGUAUAGAGGUAAUAUUAUAGUGUGUUAUUAUCAUGUGUAUAGAGGUAAUAUUACUGUGUGUGCAGGAGCUGACUUUUUUCAUAAUGGGGUCAUUGAAGUCAUGGUGAAUUUGAUAGGAGGGACAUUGAAACUGAAUAUCAGACAUACAGUGCAUAUGGAAAGUAUUCAGACCCCUUGACUUUUUCCACAUUUUGUUACGUUACAGCCUUAUUCUGAAUGGAUGAAGUAAAAAAAUGUAUCAUCAAUCUACACACAGUACCACAUAAUGACAAAGUGAAAACAGGUUUUUAGAAACGUUUGCAAAUGUAUUAAUAUUAAAUAACAAAAAUACCUUAUUUGCGUAAGUAUUCAGACCCUUUGCUAUGAGACUCGAAAUUUAGCUCAGGUGUAUUUGUAUUUAUUAAGAAUCCCCAUUAGCUGCUGCCAAGGCAACACAAUUAAGGCAGUUAUACAAUUUUAAAAACAUUACAAUACAUUUACAGAUUUCACAUCUUGUUUCCUAUUUCCAUUGAUCAUCUUGAGAAGUUUCUACAACUUGAUUGGAGUCCACCU
This 721-nucleotide long non-coding RNA is filed under the name Salmo salar (Atlantic salmon). Its description in RNAcentral is "lncRNA (ENSSSAG00000107122.1, ENSSSAG00075033079.1)". The record is from RNAcentral. Lineage: Eukaryota; Metazoa; Chordata; Actinopteri; Salmoniformes; Salmonidae.